This 390-nucleotide ribosomal RNA is filed under the name uncultured bacterium. RNAcentral's name for it is "bacterial SSU rRNA". It matches the Rfam family "Bacterial small subunit ribosomal RNA", at positions 30 to 425 of the family's 1533-position model. The record is from RNAcentral.
AUUGAACGCUGGCGGCAUGCUUUACACAUGCAAGUCGAACGCGAAAGGGGGCAACCCUGAGUAGAGUGGCGCACGGGUGAGUAAUACAUCGGAACGUGUCCUGUAAUGGGGGAUAACGCAGCGAAAGCUGUGCUAAUACCGCAUACGUCCUACGGGAGAAAGCGGGGGAUCGCAAGACCUCGCGUUAUAGGAGCGGCCGAUGCCGGAUUAGCUAGUUGGUGGGGUAAAGGCCUACCAAGGCAACGAUCCGUAGCUGGUCUGAGAGGAUGAUCAGCCACACUGGGACUGAGACACGGCCCAGACUCCUACGGGAGGCAGCAGUGGGGAAUUUUGGACAAUGGGCGCAAGCCUGAUCCAGCCAUGCCGCGUGAGUGAAGAAGGCCUCGGUUG